AAUUUUCCCUCUACAAACAGUUUCAUCUAUAAAUUUGGGUUGGGUUGAGAUGGAAGGUAAAUUGGUCAUCGCUUCCAGUUUCUUCUCGUGUGUGCUAUUUCUCGUGGUUUCAUCUAUAAAUUUGUCAUCGCUUCAGGUACUGUUGAUUUGCAAAAGAUUAGGGUUUUCGGUUUCAUCUAUAAAUUUGAAUUAUGAAUCCUUCGAUUUUCAAAUUUUUGUUGUUGGCCAGUUUAAAUUGAAGUUCUUUGUAUCCAAACUGUCUAUAAAUUAGGGAUGGAAAGGAUUGACGAUGCAGAAUGAAUGAACAGGGAGCACACACAACAACGGCGGCAGCCUCCGAUGUAGAGGCAAGGAUUCAGAUCCAUUCUAUUUUGGCCCUCAAUUUGUUUGUGAUUUUUCUUCUUGCUUCUACUCACAUCAUGUUUUAUUUUGUGCAUGUGAAAUCAGAGAUUGCUAUUCAUGAGACUGAGUAAAUAGGUAUGAUAUUUAAAAAUAUUNNNNNNNNNNNNNNNNNNNNNNNNAACAUAAAAACUUCAAUUUGAACUACUUAAUGGUAUGCAAGAGGAACUUUCAUUCAAUUUGAGCAGCAUGGAGUUUGAUUUUACUAGCUAAAUUAUCAAACCUGUUUGAAGCCUUUUUUUAGAAUGAUUACAAUCUCAUAUGAGCUUUGCAAUAAGAAACAAAAAAUACAAUGUUUGAUUCAAUGUUGGAUUGGUUUCAAAAACAUAAGAUUACUUUUUAAUGAAUGUUUUGUUUGUGAAGAAUCAAUGAAUGAUUUUUAAUGAAUGUUUUGUUUGUGAAGAAUCAAUAUUUUCUAUGCAAAAAAUAACAUGUUGAGUGUGAUACUAUUAGGUUGGGUUAAAGUGUGAUAUUCAUUUAAUAAUAACAUGCUACUUGAGAGGGAUAAAUGGUGCAGAGAAUAUGAAAACAUUGACAUCAAUCAUUUAAGGGUUGUUGAGGGGUAUUGAGUACAAAGAGUAUUUUAAUUGUUUCCUUUAAUUUCUAUGUUUGGUAUAUGUAUAUUUUGUAGGGAGGUAUUGAUUUAUAAUUGAAAGGGAAAAUUGGAACCAGCUGUGUUUGCUUUAAUAACAUGUUUAGAGUCUGGCUUCAGAUUCAAAGUCAUGCGAAGGAAUGCAUAAUGUUUGGGUGUUUUGGCACAGAACAGAUGAAACAUUACUUGCUGGCUUUGCUACAAACUAGAAGCGUUAAUGAAUGCAUUCUCUUUUUAAC
This 1230-nucleotide long non-coding RNA is filed under the name Trifolium pratense (red clover). Its description in RNAcentral is "long non-coding RNA (TPRA_LNC011970)". Lineage: Eukaryota; Viridiplantae; Streptophyta; Magnoliopsida; Fabales; Fabaceae. The record is from RNAcentral.